RNAcentral lists this transfer RNA (85 nucleotides) under Chloroflexota bacterium. RNAcentral's name for it is "Chloroflexi bacterium (anaerobic digester metagenome) tRNA-Ser". It matches the Rfam family "tRNA". From Rfam's summary of the family: Transfer RNA (tRNA) molecules are approximately 80 nucleotides in length. Their secondary structure includes four short double-helical elements and three loops (D, anti-codon, and T loops). Lineage: Bacteria; Bacillati; Chloroflexota. The record is from RNAcentral.
GGAGAGGUCGCAUAGUCUGGUCGAGUGCGCACGAUUGGAAAUCGUGUAGGCGCAAGCCUCGCGGGUUCGAAUCCCGCCCUCUCCG